This is a long non-coding RNA of Apodemus sylvaticus (European woodmouse), 2226 nucleotides long. RefSeq lists it as uncharacterized. The record is from RefSeq and is a predicted model, not a curated record. The transcript is spliced from 2 exons. NCBI's taxonomy places the organism in Eukaryota, Metazoa, Chordata, Mammalia, Rodentia, Muridae.
AGUGCGCCCAGGACCGAGCAGUGCCUGGAGGCUCUCCCUGCGUCCCGCGCGCAGUGGGCGUUACUAACCGACAGCACCCGCCUCUGGGAGCUCAGAUACACUGAUGCUUCAGGAACUGUGGACCCUCCGACCCAGCCCCUGUUAAUGUUGAAGGACCAGGGAAUAUGAAUCUAGGUAGCUGCGGCUGUGGCCCUAGUUAAGGACCAUGAGAAGCGUGGUGGAGAAUGUGUUUCCAGCUCACCAAAGUAAAAAAAAAAAAGACCACCCGACUGCGCAGAUUCGCAGUCGAGUUGAAUCGAUCUGGAAAAAAAAUGAAUCGGUACACGUUAAUUUGAACCAAAUCUCCCAAGGGCCAAGACUAAAGGAUCACCAAAGGAGAUCACCACACGGGGUAUGAGUUCCUGCGAAUCUGAGGCCAGCUAUUCAAUAUCACUUGGAACCUGCGAUUUAGGUAACAUCCAGAUCUCCUUCCCAAAUGAAGGACCGUGGCACAGGUGUCCUUGGAUGACCUGAAACUCACAUCGAGCCGCCUGGCUUUCGACUUGUGGGCAGGAUUACUGCAUCAGCUUUCAGAGUGCUGGGAUUUUAGGCAUGUGCCACCAUGCAGAGCUCUGUUUUGUAUUUUGAGACAGGGUCUCACUUUCUAGCCCAGCUGAGUUUCAGCAAGCUGCCUGCCCUGGCCUCUAGAGUGCUGGGUUUUCAGGUGUUUACGGCCACACCCAAUUUACUUUCCGUAUCUUAGGAUGUUUUGGCAUUUCCCAAAGCUUGAAGGCUUGGGGGAGGUUUAUGCUGUUAGGGUAGGUCAUCGUUUGGGGCCACCAAAAAAACAAAAAACAACAAACAAACAAACAAACGCUCUCUACCAGGGGCGUGGCUGUCUUGAACAAACUAACCAGUCCUGAGUCUCUAUUCCUGACAAUUUCCUGACUUAAGUCUCACACUCAAACCAGCUUUUCUCUUCUUCUAACUUACCCAGAGCCAGGUAUCAGGCGACAAGCCACCACUUCUGUACAGAAACCCACUGAACUGGCUAGUUCGCCACGGCUGAGCACCUUGCUGUGCCCAGGUUUGCUUUUCCCUUAGAAAUGCCAGAAACGUCGCUCCCUGGGACUUUCCUCCACGUUCCUGCUUCUUUGUUUUAAGAGCUUGGGAUACUCUGCAGCUUCCCACGUAGCCUACUGACCUUGAGCUUGUGAUUCUCCUGUGUCAGGCUCCUGAGUGCUGAGACGGCACGUGCAUGUCGGCACCCCAAGCAUCUUCCCGUGCACUUGUGUCCUACACAUCAGACGGAUGUGGUGCUCACCCCUGGCCCUGCCUAGCCAGGGUGCACCCUCUUCUCUGGGUAGGAUCUGUGACUGUAGAACCAUCUUCCUUCAUGUUUCCUUCUGGUCCCCUCCUAGGGCUCUAAGAGUUUUACCAUCCCACCAUCAAUGUCUGCAUCCUUAACAAGUACCGGUGUCUAGGAAAGUGGCCAUGAAGACACAGGACAGAUGAUAAGCCAAAAGUCUUAACUCACCUUGAGAAAUAGAUGAAAGAAACUCGGAGACUAUUGGGAACUCUCCUCUUUGAGUUGUGAUCCUCUUAGUGGUGGGCUGGCAACAGACUUGACCACAGGAGUCAGAGGUCCUAGGACCUGAUGACUUGGUCACCAUCUGUCACACCAAUAAGCCUUCUAGAAAAAAAGAUGAGGGGUUGUUAUUAAAAAAGGAUACUAGGGACCAAAAGAAUGGCUCAAUGGGUAAACAGUAAUGACUCAAGCUCUGUCCCCAAGACCCAUACAUUAGAACAAGUUGACUCUUCCAAGUGUCCUCUGAUCUCCACAUGUGCACGGAGGCCUGCAUGCCUACUGCCAACACACAUAAAAUGAAUGAAUGUAGUAAAACAUUUAUAGAAAGGGCAUUAGGACUGAGGAACAACGUGUUUUCUAUAUAUUUCUUCAGUUUUGUCAGAAAUAUUUUCCAUGUAAAUCUUCAAUUUUAUAAAAUGUUUUUACUUUUUCAAUUAAAAAAAGAAGCAGAGUGCUGCCCUAGUGUGCAGGAAGCUAUGCGUUCCUUCUGCCAAGACACAUAAAGGGCAGUUCGGAGCUCCGUCCUACACCCCUUCACUCCUGAGGUACGGGUAGCUGGCUCAGGAGUUGUCUUCUCUGGUGACAUAGUGAGUCCUUUGUUAUCCUACAUGGCUCCAUGAGACCAUAAAACGCCAUUAAAGGCUCUCCCUCAGAAUCUC